This 86-nucleotide transfer RNA is filed under the name Gongylonema pulchrum. RNAcentral describes it as "Selenocysteine transfer RNA". It matches the Rfam family "Selenocysteine transfer RNA". The record is from Rfam by way of RNAcentral. Lineage: Eukaryota; Metazoa; Nematoda; Chromadorea; Rhabditida; Gongylonematidae.
GCCCGGGCGAUCCUCGGUGGUCCGGGGUGCAGGCUUCAAACCUGUAGCCGUCUAGCGACGGAGUGGUUCGAUUCCACCGUCUGGGU